RNAcentral lists this ribosomal RNA (354 nucleotides) under bacterium LimC-1-J-53. RNAcentral describes it as "bacterial SSU rRNA". It matches the Rfam family "Bacterial small subunit ribosomal RNA", at positions 289 to 634 of the family's 1533-position model. The record is from RNAcentral.
GACCUGAGAGGGUGAUCGGCCACACUGGGACUGAGACACGGCCCAGACUCCUACGGGAGGCAGCAGUAGGGAAUCUUCCGCAAUGGACGAAAGUCUGACGGAGCAACGCCGCGUGAGUGAUGAAGGCUUUCGGGUCGUAAAACUCUGUUGUUAGGGAAGAACAAGUGCUAGUUGAAUAAGCUGGCACCUUGACGGUACCUAACCAGAAAGCCACGGCUAACUACGUGCCAGCAGCCGCGGUAAUACGUAGGUGGCAAGCGUUAUCCGGAAUUAUUGGGCGUAAAGCGCGCGCAGGUGUUUUCUUAAUUCUGAUGUGAAAGCCCACGGCUCAACCGUGGAGGGUCAUUGGAAACU